CCCUUAGAUGUUCUGGGCCGCACGCGCGCUACACUGAUACAUGCAACGAGUUUAUAACCUUGAUCUGACGGUCUGGGUAAUCUUCAAACUGUAUCGUGUUAGGGAUCGAUUCUUGCAAUUUUUAAUCGUAAACGAGGAAUUCCUAGUAAACGCAAGUCAUCAGCUUGCAUUGAUUACGUCCCUGCCCUUUGUACACACCGCCCGUCGACUCUACCGAUUGAAUGGUUCGGUGAAAACUUUGGACUGUGGUAUUGUCCUUCAUUGGACUUCGCCGUAGGAAAUUGUUUAAACCUCAUCAUUUAGAGGAAGAAUAAGUCGUAACA
This 323-nucleotide ribosomal RNA is filed under the name uncultured eukaryote. Its description in RNAcentral is "partial 18S ribosomal RNA". It matches the Rfam family "Eukaryotic small subunit ribosomal RNA", at positions 1470 to 1796 of the family's 1831-position model. The record is from RNAcentral.